This is a long non-coding RNA of Sinocyclocheilus grahami, 314 nucleotides long. RefSeq lists it as uncharacterized. NCBI's taxonomy places the organism in Eukaryota, Metazoa, Chordata, Actinopteri, Cypriniformes, Cyprinidae. The record is from RefSeq and is a predicted model, not a curated record. The transcript is spliced from 3 exons.
AAUGAGUGGUCCUGCAAGAUUCACUAGAUCCUUCACAGGUUCUGCCUGGUUUUUGUCACUCUUUAAAUUGUACUCCAGAUGAGACACGGGGUUUUGAACAGAGCAACAUACUUAACGUUUUUUUUACGGUCACUCGGCAGGGACUGCACGUCUUUCUGACCUCAUUUCAAACUGUCAUUGAAAAGCUAUUUUUAUAGGUCUACAGGAAGCCCAGUCACUCAGACGCUUGCAGAAGGAGGGGCCAGCUGCAGUGACCACGGUCUACAUGACAAAAAAUGAGAUAAAAAAAGAAAGCCCUACAGUUUGGUAAUGAC